This 134-nucleotide small nucleolar RNA is filed under the name Mandrillus leucophaeus (drill). Its description in RNAcentral is "Small nucleolar RNA SNORA48 (ENSMLEG00000012604.1)". It matches the Rfam family "Small nucleolar RNA SNORA48". Rfam says of the family: The snoRNA ACA 48 has been identified to guide pseudouridylation of the residue U3797 in the 28S rRNA subunit. Its host gene EIF4A1 (eukaryotic translation initiation factor 4A1) is shared with U67 and snoRNA mgU6-77 Lineage: Eukaryota; Metazoa; Chordata; Mammalia; Primates; Cercopithecidae. The record is from Rfam by way of RNAcentral.
UGUCCCUGACCUGGGUAGAGUGGCAUCUAGCUGUGGCAUUCAUCUCAUAUCAGCCAGGGACAAAGCAACUCCUUGUUCAUCCCAGCUUGGCUUCUGAUCUGUGCCCAUGCCUGGUUCAUGCCUUGGACACAUAC